Molecule: ribosomal RNA, 253 nt
Filed under: uncultured bacterium
Lineage: Bacteria
Description: partial 16S ribosomal RNA
Rfam family: Bacterial small subunit ribosomal RNA
Source: RNAcentral
UACAGAGGGUGCGAGCGUUAAUCGGAAUUACUGGGCGUAAAGCGCGCGUAGGCGGCUUUGCAAGCCGGAUGUGAAAUCCCCGGGCUUAACCUGGGAACUGCAUUCGGGACUGCAUUGCUAGAGUAUGGGAGAGGGAAGUGGAAUUUCAGGUGUAGCGGUGAAAUGCGUAGAUAUCUGAAGGAACAUCAGUGGCGAAAGCGACUUCCUGGACCAAUACUGACGCUCAUGUGCGAAAGCGUGGGGAGCAAAUAGG